CUCGCUCUUUCCCUCUAUCUUUUACAUUGUGAAACUUUGACUAAUCUUUUGCUGCAGAAGGCAACCUUGUCUGUGGAGAUAAAGAGUUGUCCUGCAAAUUGGACAUGCUGUAGUCAAUAAAUAGCAUUCAGAAGUUUUAAGAACUUUUAACCUUCUGUACUCUUAAUUUUCUGGCUAAAAACUUUUCUAAUCCUGCCUAACAGGAUAAUCUUCCCGCCCGAACUCAGCUUAGAGUUUCAGUUUUUCUUGUGGCCUAGUCUCACUGCAAUUGUCGGUAAAAUAAAAUAAAAUCUUCUCUUUUUAUUGGUAUCCAAAAAAGAUGCAAGGUUUUCCCCCUCUGGCACCUUACAUAUAUAUUAAAAUAAUCAAGUUCAUGUAGUUAAUGUAUAUAUUCAGAUCAUGUUUAGGAAGUAAUUACUGUGCUCUCUGACUCUAUGUGCAAAACUUCCUGUUCCUGUGACAAGCUUGUCUGUCCUGAAAUUUUCUCAUUUAUCUGCAUGUACAGCAAAGAACAUUGGUAAAAAUCACCUUCUAAGUCAAGUAUGCAUAAAUUGGUACUGGAACAAUAAAACUGAACUUAUCCGUAGAAUAAGAGGGAUGCUUACUCUGAUUGAGUCUGGAGUUCGUAUCAAAAAGUUGAUUAUAGGACUGGAUAUCGUGAUUAUGGUCCGUUAAGAGGUUGAGCUUAUUAGAAUAUACCAAC
This 703-nucleotide long non-coding RNA is filed under the name Daucus carota (carrot). Its description in RNAcentral is "long non-coding RNA (DCAR_LNC000550)". Lineage: Eukaryota; Viridiplantae; Streptophyta; Magnoliopsida; Apiales; Apiaceae. The record is from RNAcentral.